Molecule: ribosomal RNA, 887 nt
Filed under: uncultured Thermococcales archaeon
Lineage: Archaea; Methanobacteriati; Methanobacteriota; Thermococci; Thermococcales
Description: bacterial SSU rRNA
Rfam family: Archaeal small subunit ribosomal RNA
Source: RNAcentral
GGCCACUGCUAUGGGGGUCCGACUAAGCCAUGCGAGUCAUGGGGCGCGCUCUGCGCGCACCGGCGGACGGCUCAGUAACACGUCGGUAACCUACCCUCGGGAGGGGGAUAACCCCGGGAAACUGGGGCUAAUCCCCCAUAGGCCUGAGGUACUGGAAGGUCCUCAGGCCGAAAGGGGCAUCUGCCCGCCCGAGGAUGGGCCGGCGGCCGAUUAGGUAGUUGGUGGGGUAACGGCCCACCAAGCCGAAGAUCGGUACGGGCCAUGAGAGUGGGAGCCCGGAGAUGGACACUGAGACACGGGUCCAGGCCCUACGGGGCGCAGCAGGCGCGAAACCUCCGCAAUGCGGGAAACCGCGACGGGGGGACCCCCAGUGCCGUGGCAUCGCCACGGCUUUUCCGGAGUGUAAAGAGCUCCGGGAAUAAGGGCUGGGCAAGGCCGGUGGCAGCCGCCGCGGUAAUACCGGCGGCCCGAGUGGUGGCCGCUAUUAUUGGGCCUAAAGCGUCCGUAGCCGGGCCUGUAAGUCCCUGGCGAAAUCCCACGGCUCAACCGUGGGGCUUGCUGGGGAUACUGCAGGCCUUGGGACCGGGAGAGGCGGAGGGUACUCCUGGGGUAGGGGUGAAAUCCUAUAAUCCCAGGAGGACCGCCAGUGGCGAAGGCGCUCCGCUGGAACGGGUCCGACGGUGAGGGACGAAGGCCAGGGGAGCGAACCGGAUUAGAUACCCGGGUAGUCCUGGCUGUAAAGGAUGCGGGCUAGGUGUCGGGUGAGCUUCGUGCUCGCCCGGUGCCGAAGGGAAGCCGUUAAGCCCGCCGCCUGGGGAGUACGGCCGCAAGGCUGAAACUUAAAGGAAUUGGCGGGGGAGCACUACAAGGGGUGGAGCGUGCGGUUU